AUGGGCGGAAGCCUGAUCCAGCAACGCCGCGUGAGGGAUGACGGCCUUCGGGUUGUAAACCUCUUUCAGUACCGACGAAGCGCCCGUUGUGGGUGGUGACGGUAGGUACAGAAGAAGCACCGGCCAACUACGUGCCAGCAGCCGCGGUAAUACGUAGGGUGCGAGCGUUGUCCGGAAUUAUUGGGCGUAAAGGGCUCGUAGGCGGUUUGUCGCGUCGGGAGUGAAAACMCCGGGCUUAACUCGGUGCUUGCUUUCGAUACGGGCAGACUAGAGGUAUGCAGGGGAGAACGGAAUUCCUGGUGUAGCGGUGAAAUGCGCAGAUAUCAGGAGGAACACCGGUGGCGAAGGCGGUUCUCUGGGCAUUACCUGACGCUGAGGAGCGAAAGUGU
This 389-nucleotide ribosomal RNA is filed under the name uncultured actinomycete. RNAcentral describes it as "bacterial SSU rRNA". It matches the Rfam family "Bacterial small subunit ribosomal RNA", at positions 371 to 762 of the family's 1533-position model. The record is from RNAcentral. Lineage: Bacteria; Bacillati; Actinomycetota; Actinomycetes; Actinomycetales.